GACGAACGCUGGCGGCGUGCUUAACACAUGCAAGUCGAACGGAAAGGCCCUGCUUUUGUGGGGUGCUCGAGUGGCGAACGGGUGAGUAACACGUGAGUAACCUGCCCUUGACUUUGGGAUAACUUCAGGAAACUGGGGCUAAUACCGGAUAGGAGCUCCUGCUGCAUGGUGGGGGUUGGAAAGUUUCGGCGGUUGGGGCUGGACUCGCGGCUUAUCAGCUUGUUGGUGGGGUAGUGGCUUACCAAGGCUUUGACGGGUAGCCGGCCUGGGAGGGUGACCGGCCACAUUGGGACUGCGAUACGGCCCAGACUCCUACGGGAGGCAGCAGUGGGGAGUAUUGCACAGUGGGCGGAAGCGUGAUGCGGCAACGCCGCGUGCGGGAUGACGGCCUUCGGGUUGUAAACCGCUUUCGCCUGUGACGAAGCGUGAGUGACGGUAAUGGGUAAAGAAGCACCGGCUAACUACGUG
RNAcentral lists this ribosomal RNA (468 nucleotides) under uncultured bacterium. RNAcentral describes it as "partial 16S ribosomal RNA". It matches the Rfam family "Bacterial small subunit ribosomal RNA", at positions 28 to 507 of the family's 1533-position model. The record is from RNAcentral.